This is a long non-coding RNA of Bos taurus (domestic cattle), 5425 nucleotides long. NCBI's taxonomy places the organism in Eukaryota, Metazoa, Chordata, Mammalia, Artiodactyla, Bovidae. The record is from Ensembl.
GUUUUCUGUUAGAAUUAAGCUUAUGCUCUUCUUGAUUUUUAACUACAGUUCUAUUGAAUAUUCUUAUUCUUACCCAGCCAGUAAUCUACAUUGUUUUUCACAUUCAAAAUAUUAUGUAUACAAAUUACAUGAUUUUUUUUGUCAAUCAUGCUAAGCAAUAUAAAUAGGUUCUUAGAAUUUAUGACUAACAUAAUAAACCUCUUACAUGAUAGAAAGCACUAGAAAGUUCAUUUUUAAAAACUUCUGUGAUUCCUGACUCUGUUUUUAAAUGUAUGGCAUGAAGAAAAGCAAAAGUUAUGUUCAGUGAUAGUUUGAAAAACGAUUUUAGUGUUAGUCACCAUAAUCAAAUUGCCAGUGAUGUGGCAUUAUAUACACUUAGACGCAAUACCUGGAAUCUUUGCCCCAAAUUAUUCUGCUUCUCUGUCACUGUUUUUUCCUACCAUUCUUUAUAUCACUUCACAAAUGGUAAAAUUUUCUUUUCUGAAUUUAUAGUCAGAAUUGAUAUCUCUGAAAAGAAUUUUGGUUAUCUUGGAAAUGCUCAAGCAAAUAUUUAACCUGUCCACAAGGGAAAACUUUACAGUUUAAUCACCCAUAAGUGUAACUUUGGCAAAGUUCAACGACUAAGCAACUUUCUCCUAAACUAUUGUAAUAAUAUAUUUACCUAUAGUAUUAUCAGGCCUGCAGAAAGCUAUAAAUUUUAACACAGCCCCCAAAAGCUUAGUAUAUGUAGAUGAAUGUACAUGUCUAUAUACUUACACAGAUACAAAGAUCAACUAAAUUUCUCACAUGGCCAUUAUACUCUGGAGACGGUACUACUGAGAUAAGUUGCUCUCUGCUUGCUUUUUCAUAGUUGGAAAGUUUGGGAAGACAUUAACAAUACAUAUCUCUGUAAUAUAGUAAUUUUCUACUUGCCCAACAUUUAGUAUUAGUUUAUAUCUGCCGAUUAGAAACAGUCUAACCAUUAUAUUUGACAUAAGAACAGUCAUCAAAAACUAAAUUUCUUAACUCAUGAGUUGCAUGAAAAUAUAUGCAGAGGGACUGUCAUGUGGUGGACUAUGAAUGGUGGAAUUGUGAAUAUUUUCUACUUUUUCUGUUUUUUUUAAUUGAACAAUGGGUUAUUAAAAAAAAGAACGGGAAUAUGCUUUUAAAGACUUAAAAUGAACUGAACAGUAAGCACUAGGUAUAUACUAACUUUUUCUGAAGUCACUUUUAUCACGGAAGGUCAGAACUCAGUUUAGAGCUCUUUGAUCUACCAGUUCUCUUCAGUUUGUGAUUUGGUGGAGACAAAAAUAAUUGUGGCUUUUGCUGCUAGUGAUUUUAUUGUGUGAUGUAGUAUAGUGUUUAUGAACACAGGCUUUGCAGUCACUUGGAUUCUGCCCUAUUAAAUGGGGUCACUAUACCUGCCUUAUGGGGUUGCUGUAAGGGCUCAGUGAAACAGUAUUUGUAUAGCAAUUAGUAGAUAAUGGAACUGCCAGUUAUUGGUCUAGUAAUAAUAAUGAUAAUAAUUUAUGACCAUAAAACACAUGGCUUCACACUUUCUUCGCAACUGCAGUUUCUAAAGGAAACUUCCUCUACCAACUGUGUGGUAUGUUAAUACUCUCUGCAGUGCUGGGAUUCAAGAAGAGAAAUCGUUUUAUAAUAAAUAUGUUACUGUUUUAUAAACCAUGUUAUAAAGAAACAACCUACAGUUUUAAGAACUUUUUUAAGACCUGGAAUGAUGACUGAUGAGCUUCCUUUGAGAGAGUCCAGACAUACCCUAAACCAUGUUCCUGGAAUAUCCACUGAUGGUGCUUUCCCAAGCCGGAAUUCCAAGUGCCUUCAUGCAUUUCGCCUCACGAAUCAGACAGGUAGAUCUUAUGUCCGUUUUACACUGAGGAAGCAGCUUUAGAAUGUUGGCUUCAUGUCUCAAGUUCAGCACUCCCCGAGUAAUGCCUGAUGCUGGGGUGUGCCCGGGGCAGGCAGUUGCUCAGCCAGUUUUGCUGAAUGAUUGAGUGACUAGUGGGUGAUGGGUCUUUUAUUUGAACACAGAUCUCCUACUAAUUUCUAGCUCUACUCCUAGACGUAGAGUGCAAACAAACUGGGAUUAAGAGUAUUUAUUUUUGUGAAUGCUUUCUUAAGCCUUUGCAGUAUUUGAAAAAAGUUAUAAGAAUAAUAGCUAAAUCUAUUCAGUGCUAACUAUGUGCCUGGCACUUUUCUAAGUGCUUUCUGUGUAUCAGCUAAUUUAAUCCUCACAGCCACCUUAUUAGAGAGGUUCUAGUUUUCCUUAUUUCUCUGAUGAGGAAACUGAGACACAAAGAAGUGGUAAGCACUUAGACCAGCGUAAUUGAGAUCAGACAUUUAGGGCUGGCCGAACCUGGGUGCAUCUACUCAACCACCAUGCUUUUAUGCCUGCCUUUAAAAGUGUGUGUUUGUUUGUUAAGCAUAAAUCUUCCAUAGUUAUAUAUAGUAACUAAUCAACCCAAAGAACUUCAAAAGUCCUAGUAGUGAUUGUUUUUGAAGUUUAAAGUAAAUCCAUUUAAUUAAUAUCAGCUUUUUGGACUUUUCAUUAUACAUAGUUAUCCUUCAGGGUUUGGAACAGUCUGUAUAAUUGUCUCUCCCAGAAGAUUUUAUGUACCAUUCUUUCUUAAAUUCAGAUAUUAUCAAGCGUUUUUCUUGGCAGAUGGAUGUAUUAAAGAAUUAACUAGCCAUUCAGUAUUAGUUCCAACAAUGUUAUUUUAAUUGGUCUUCAGAAGGUAAUUAUAAGACCUUGUCACAAGUAUAACUGGAUUCUUAGUACAGGACUGUCUCAAACUUUUGAAAGCUUGUUCAUAUUUAAGAAAAUAACUGUUUUAAUGACCAAAGUGAGCUAUAGAAACAUAAUACUCGGCCCAUCUGUUAACACACAGAAUCAUCUGCCUACUUGAUUCAUAACUACUGCAGUAUAUAGACCUCAUCCCACCCUGCCCCCCAAGACUCAAGAUCUAUGCAGUUCUAUUCUAGUAAAGUUUUCACCAGAUCACCCUAUUAUUCCAGCUUUCGGUUCUAUUAAAAGAUAUGACGUAGAAUGCUGCCUACCGGUGAUUAUGAUUCAUGAGCAUCCAGAUACAAGAAUGUAAAUGGUUUUCAUUUAUCAUCUGCUAAUUUAAAUAUUAUUAGAAUUUGUUAAUAUUGUUAUAAAAUUCCAAAUCAGAAAUCUAUCAGGAAAUGUACAUCAACUUUAAGAGAUGGGAGUGUUACACUUUACAAGUAGAAUUAACUGUUAAUCACCAAGAUUUCCUCUUUUUUCCUCUUCUAGUGGCACAUAGUUUAUUUAAAUGAAUUCACAGUAACCAUAAAUCAUGAUUUUGUCCUGACUACUUAAAAGUGUGUCUCCACCCGCUCUUUUCCUAGCAGUAGGAUGAUAGAAAGCAUGGCCUUAAGAACUAGAGGCGGGACUAACCUCCUGUGUGUAUUCCCUGCCCUGCACAGCUUGGCCCUUUCAUGUAUUAUUAGACUGCAGGUCAGCCUAGCUGCUUUGGGCCAGGGCUGCCAGUCUGACCACAGCCUGGGAAAAGCAGAACAGGAGGCAGCGUGGUCGGCCUCUCUGACUGCAUCCCCUUUGUUUCUGAGUGUGCUGAUUUGGUUUAGUUUUUGUCAAAAGUUGGAGUUGGAAAGUGGAACCCUAGAUACCUGUGGACUCUUAGCCUAGCUAUAGUUAUUCCUUGUUUGGGAUGUCCCUUUUCCACAUUGGCGUGUCGCUCUCAAGUGGACCAAAGGACAUUUUAUUCUGUUGAAAGCCCCAUGACCAAAAGGAAAGAAUUGUAAGUACUUCCAAAUCUACCUCCUGGCCUGUACCAACCAUAUCCUGAAAAGCCCUGAACAAGCAUGGUGAAGCACUGGACAGCCACAUACUCGCAGGCAUUUUGGAACAUGUCAGGGCAUGGUACGGAUGCCUUCCCCUUAAAGGAGCAGCUUUCAGACCUGGUGUUUUUCAAUAAUACAGAAUUAAGCAAAAUUGUCAGGUUUUUUUUUUAUGAGUUAAAGGGACAGCAGAAUUUAUUGCCUUUUGCUUUUAGUAUACUGGGUUACAUAUUUAUGUUUGAAAUGAGGCCUCAUAAUAUUGAGAGGGAAAAAAAAGCAAUCCUCAAAUUUGACUAGAACCAGUUUAAAUAGUAUUUUUGAAUAUCUAGUGUGCUAUGCUCAUAAGUAUGUGUUAAGGUAUAUAGGGCAAAACAGUUGAUACAUUAUGGUAGUGAAGGGUAAAAAUAGACACAUUAAUUUCUGAAAAUGAAGAAGGGCUCAGUCUAGGAACUAUCUUCUAGUUUUAGAUUUUUGUCAUCACUAUUCUUAGUCCCACCAGAAAUGUGUUUGUUCUGUGAGCAUGUGCAGAAUGGGCUACCUGUUGUGUUCAUUACAUGUUCAGAUGCUAACAAGUGUGUGUGUGUGUGUGUGUGUGUUUGGAAUGUACUUUCUCUGUGUGCCUCUGAUGUUCAUCACCCAAAUUUACCUGUAGGAGUACACAACCACAUCCUCUCCACACUUUGGGCUUCCCUCUCUUUGAAAACAGUAGUGUCUGUAGAAGUUUCAAUGAGGAACUGUAUGGUUCCACAAAUGACAGAUAUAGUAGAUUGGUUUUGUUGUGGUAAAUUUUUUUUUCUAAAAUUCUUAAUAUUUCAGUUUCUGAAGAAGGAGAACAUUGUGCUACAUGACUUUAAAAUCAAUUUUACUCUACUUCAGGUAUAUGUUUCUAAUUAUGUUAUACAUAGGUUAAUAUUUUGUAAAAGUUUGAAGUUUUCACUGUUAGGAUGCAUUGAGAGCCAGUUUAGAAAUGCUUUAAUUGCUGUCAUUACUUUACAUGUGGAUUAUGGAUUAAUCAAAGUGUGCUGUGAUACAUAUAUAUCACAUACAUACACAUAUACAUACAUAUAUAUACACACAAUCACUUUCAAAUUGUAACAUUUCAUAAAUUUGUCAAGUUUUAAAAACUCAGACUCUUCUCCUCUUGUGUGUGCAUAAAGUUGUGGUUUUAUCUUUGAGAAUAGAGUUGGUCUGCUGUGCUGACUUCAUCUCUGUCAUUCCAAGAGUUUGAUUAUGUCUAUUUUUUCUUCAAAGAUAAAAGAUGCAAUUGAAAUCCAGUUUACAGGAUCAUGUAUUAGACUUGGUUGAGUUCUAAAAGAAUUGACUUGGUCUGCAUUUGUAAGCAUUUCAUGUAGAUAGAGUAAUAUAUUUUUGUACAACACUGUAUUUCUACAUUUAUUUCAAGUCUUUUCAGUGACUUUAAGUACAUGUGUUAAGAUGGUUUGGAAUGAGAGCGCAGUGGCCUUCAUUACCAACUCAAAAGAAGUGUAUAAUUCAUGCGGUUAUAGAAAACCAGAAUGUGUUCAGACUGUACACUGAAACCGAAUGCCUCUUUUCUAAAGCUUUGUACAUUUUUUUCAUGAAAUAGAUUAAAUAUUUUCCCUCUAAA